Molecule: long non-coding RNA, 562 nt
Filed under: Rattus norvegicus (Norway rat)
Lineage: Eukaryota; Metazoa; Chordata; Mammalia; Rodentia; Muridae
Description: long non-coding RNA NONRATT015739
Source: RNAcentral
AGGUGGGCACUCCUGAGGGUGCAGAGCGGAAGAGACCACCAACACUGCUCACCCCUGCCCACAUCCCUGGCCCAAGAGGAAACUGUAUAAGGCCUUGGGGCUCCCGUGGGGGAGGGCCCAGGAGCGGCAGGACCCCUGCCUGAGACACUGCCGGAAACUGAAGGAAACAGACCGGAUAAACAGUUCUCUGCACCCAAAUCCCGUGGGAGGGAGAGCUAAACCUUCAGAGAGGCAGACAAGCCUGGGAAACCAGAAGAGACUGCUCCCUGCACACACAUCUCGGACGCCAGAGGAAAAAGCCAAAGACCAUCUGGAACCCUGGUGCACUGAAGCUCCCGGAAGGGGCGGCACAGGUCUUCCUGGUUGCUGCCGCUGCAGAGAGCCCGUGGGCAGCACCCCACGAGCGAACUUGAGCCUCGGGACCACAGGUAAGACCAAAUUUUCUGCUGCAAGAAAGCUGCCUGGUGAACUCAAGACACAGGCCCACAGGAACAGCUGAAGACCUGUAGAGAGGAAAAACUACACGCCCGAAAGCAGAACACUCUGUCCCCAUAACUGACUG